GACGAGGGGUCCUAGCGUUGUUCGGAAUCACUGGGCGUAAAGCGUUCGUAGGCGGCUCUAUAAGUCGGGUGUGAAAUCCCACGGCUCAACCGUGGAAGUGCAUUCGAAACUGCAGAGCUUGAAUAUGGUAGAGGGUAGUAGAAUUCCUGGUGUAGUGGUGAAAUACGUAGAUAUCAGGAGGAAUACCGGUGGCGAAGGCGGCUACCUGGACCAAUAUUGACGCUGAGGAACGAAAGUGCGGGGAUCAAACAGG
This 253-nucleotide ribosomal RNA is filed under the name uncultured bacterium. Its description in RNAcentral is "partial 16S ribosomal RNA". It matches the Rfam family "Bacterial small subunit ribosomal RNA", at positions 524 to 776 of the family's 1533-position model. The record is from RNAcentral.